Phyllostomus discolor (pale spear-nosed bat) is the source of this 558-nucleotide long non-coding RNA. RefSeq lists it as uncharacterized. The record is from RefSeq and is a predicted model, not a curated record. The transcript has 2 exons. Lineage: Eukaryota; Metazoa; Chordata; Mammalia; Chiroptera; Phyllostomidae.
AGCACCUGGUUGGUUCUGAAGUUCAAGAUUCAGGGCCCAUUAGCAUAGAGGGCAGUGAACAGGAAGUCAGCACCUGCCCCUCACACCGUUGCCUGAAGGGACGAUCCUGCCACAUGGACUGAGCCAUUGAGUGCCAAGUGCCAGGAAAGCGGUCCUGCUUAAGACAGAAGCUUUUAUUUUUACUCAUCCAAGUGGGGAAAACGCAACACGUCAGGUCAGUACAGACAGUCGGCAGCAGCCAGAUGGGGCCAGUCUAGGGCAGAGUCCACUGUGGUCAGUGCGAAGGCGCUGCCUGUGGAGGUUGGGUGGCAGAGUCCCUGUGCAGCAAGGCCGGGCAUCUCUGGGCGAGGCACUGGUGACAGUCCACACACGCAGGCUGCUGCUUCGACCACGCUGACAGUUCAGAGUCCGACACGCCGCUACCCCGAGGGGAAGGGCCAUCCAUGGUGCUCGCAGUUUCCAGCGUUUGUUUUUUUAACAUAGUACACAACAAAGUUAUUGCCGAGGACUUUGCACUGCAAAUUAUACUAUUUACACUUGCGUAUUCAGAAAAAAAAA